Molecule: unclassified non-coding RNA, 2430 nt
Filed under: Leishmania donovani
Lineage: Eukaryota; Euglenozoa; Kinetoplastea; Trypanosomatida; Trypanosomatidae
Description: gene:LdHU3.21.0930(CDS-product:hypothetical_prote in_conserved)
Source: RNAcentral
AUUGCGCUUUUUUCCUGAAGAUGCAACGUUUUGCAGUUUCGAAUGAUGGUAAGCUGGCAUGGGGCUCUUGCUUCGCGAGCUGCCACGGAGGCCAAGUACCGGCAUCCAUCAAGCUUGUGAAGAAAGCUGGCGACGGCGACAGGGUGGAACCCGCUUGUGUGGCUUUUUCUUCUUUCGACGUGGAGCGCUCAGCACGCUUCGGUAUCAAGACUAGCUACAGCGCGGGUGACCAUGUAGUCCUCGCGUUCAAUGACCCCGACUCAUUUUUUGCGGCCACUAUUGUGCGCUGUGACACGUGGGCUGUGCAGUGGGCAAUAGAAAAGGCUGCGUGUCUUGCUGACGCUUCCGUAACGCAGCUGGCGGCUUUGUGCGCGAAUACGGUGUGCGGUGUGGCGACGGCGUCUAGUAGCGCUUCCUCAUCAUCCCCGGUGCAGCGCCUUUUUGUUGCCUCCCGUUUUGAUGUCCCUACAUCAAGUCGCAAAGCAAACAAGGAGUGGAGGCAGUUCCUGGCUCCUCCGAGGUCGAUUGAGACGGGGCUGGAGGAGGAGGGAAUCGCAUCCAUUAGCGCAUUCGACAAGAACACUCUUCUUGCUCUAACAGGGAAAGGCUCUCUGGCGCUGGUGCGCCUGGAUGCUAGGGCACUGAAGGAACAGCCGGCUUCGGCAUCGGCUUUCUACACCGUGCAGCGAAUCCAGUGCAAGCUAGCACUAGCAAGCAUUCGAUCUCGCAUUGUGGUCUACAACGAUGACAAGGAGCACGCUUAUGCAGCCGUCUACUCAGUUUCCGAAAAGGCGAUGGAGCUUGUCUAUUUUCAUCAGACUACGGCGGGAAUAUCCUCGCGCGCUGGUGAGAGGACGGCGACCGUCCUGAAAGUGGCCACGAGCAUCCCUAUCGACGACUUGCGCUUUGCCGGGUCGUUUCACCUUGCCGUGAGCUGCUCACGCAUAAAGGAGAAUAUGCAGUUUGUCGGCCUCAUUCCUGGCGCCGACGCGCUGGAAGCGAUGGUCUUCGACCCUCUCACGGUGCCAUACGCUCCCAUCACUACGCUAUACAGCGAGUCGACGGAGGAGUUCGUAGUGAUCUCUUCGUCUCAAGAGGUUGCAGCAUUUUCCACACUGACGAACGAGCAGAAGGUCGCCUCACUCAUCGGGACGACGCUGAAGUUUUCGACUGGCUCCUUUUCUCAGGCCUCGCUGAACAAGGCUGCUUGGGGACUGAUCUCCAACCCGUUUCGUCACUAUGGCCCGAAAACCAGGCGCCAUACAGAGGAAGAAAGCGGCGCGAACGAAGAGGAGGACUUGCAGUUGCUGCAAGGUGCUGGUGCCCGGUCUGCCGGUCGCUGGACCCCUUUGACGCUGUGCUACGCGUUGGCAACUCUCCGGUCAUCCUUGCCCACGACGCAGGUUGCAGUGUUCGCCGUGGAGACUGCGCCGUUCCUGCACACGCGACUCAUCAAGCAGUGGCACAAUGCCACCACUGGGCUCAGGACGAUCCUGGGAGCGGCUUCCACAGAACUGACUGGAGCUCUCGCGCUUCCGUGGAAUCCGCGACAUGUUCGCCGUGCCUUGCGCCUCUUCAGUCAAGACGAGCUCUCCUCUCUUCUUCAUCGCAUCGCGACGACGAUAGCGGCCAGCGAGCUUGUGGUUUCCCCUGUCUCGUACCCUGAUGCCACCACGACCGCUGUCGACAUUGCACUGCAUGUGAUCACACUGGCUCGGCAGAUGGGUGCCACAUUGAAGCCAGAGGACGUGAGGAUCGUCGCCAUUAUUCUGCGAGCGGCUCGCGAGAGCAGCCACGAGCUGUUGCGCUACGCCAGCUGCAUGGAGCUGCUGAUGGAGAGCCAUUUACAGCAGAGGGCCAUGGAUCGCGUCUUGGCACGCCGUGCCUCUGCACGCGACGAGGCUGAUGAGGUGUCGCAGACUCUGGAGGGGAACUUUUACGGCAUCGCGGCCGAGCUGCAGACUGAGCGGACACUACACACACGCUACACGUCAAACGCGUGGGCGCAGCACCUGGGCAAGUGCAAAGUGCAGUACAAGGCGGAAGCCGAAAGCGCGUUGCGGCUCCUUGCAGCAGCGCACCAUAAGAGCGAGAAAACGAUGGAAUGCGCUCUCAGUGACUGGCGGCAGCUUGGUUCCACGCCGCACCAAGACCCGUUGCUGAACCAAUUUGAGCACGCACUCCUGUAGGCCGUUAUGGGGAAUCGGGGCGGCAAUCAUGCGUGAUGGUGUUUGACGCUGAAGCCGAGGAAGUUUCAGCCGCCUGCAGCAUCAGCGAAGUGCACGCAGACUGUUCUAGGAUUCUUCUCGAGAACCACUGCAGCGUCACGAGUAAAAUGCGGUACGGAGGAAAAUUUUGAUUAAGGUAAACCCGUAACCCACGCGUGCGAAUCGCCGAGCGCGUCGUGUCUUUGUCAAGGAACAAACAACC